This 253-nucleotide ribosomal RNA is filed under the name uncultured bacterium. RNAcentral's name for it is "partial 16S ribosomal RNA". It matches the Rfam family "Bacterial small subunit ribosomal RNA", at positions 524 to 776 of the family's 1533-position model. The record is from RNAcentral.
UACAGAGGUCUCAAGCGUUGUUCGGAAUUACUGGGCGUAAAGGGCUCGUAGGCGGCCAACUAAGUCGGACGUGAAAUCCCUCAGCUUAACUGGGGAACUGCGUCCGAUACUGGAUGGCUUGGAUUUGGGAGAGGGAUGCGGAAUUCCAGGUGUAGCGGUGAAAUGCGUAGAUAUCUGGAGGAACACCGGUGGCGAAGGCGGCAUCCUGGACCGGCAUUGACGCUGAGGCGCGAAAGCCAGGGGAGCAAACGGG